RNAcentral lists this ribosomal RNA (218 nucleotides) under uncultured bacterium. RNAcentral's name for it is "partial 16S ribosomal RNA". It matches the Rfam family "Bacterial small subunit ribosomal RNA", at positions 111 to 334 of the family's 1533-position model. The record is from RNAcentral.
UAAUGUAUGGGGAUCUGCCGAUAGAGGGGAUAACUACUGGAAACGGUGGCUAAUACCGCAUAAUGUCUACGGACCAAAGCAGGGGCUCUUCGGACCUUGCACUAUCGGAUGAACCCAUAUGGGAUUAGCUAGUAGGUGGGGUAAAGGCUCACCUAGGCGACGAUCUCUAGCUGGUCUGAGAGGAUGAUCAGCCACACUGGGACUGAGACACGGCCCAG